Rhodamnia argentea is the source of this 208-nucleotide long non-coding RNA. RefSeq lists it as uncharacterized. The record is from RefSeq and is a predicted model, not a curated record. Lineage: Eukaryota; Viridiplantae; Streptophyta; Magnoliopsida; Myrtales; Myrtaceae. The transcript has 3 exons.
CUUUAAAACUUACGCAGUUGACAUUCAUUUCCGUUUGAUAUCGUGACCUGUUUCCAUCCAGGUCAUUGUGUUUCUGUAAAUCAAAAAGAACUGUACAAUUUCAGGUAUUUUGCUUCUGUUAGUUUGAAUGUAUCCAUCUUAUGUCAUGGGAUUCAUGUGCAAAAGGGUAACACUGAGACGGAACUAAUGAGAACAGUUGGGCCAACAA